GAAUAGUAACUCGUGAAUAGUAACUCAUGAAUAGUAACCCUGACAUGAAAAAGUUCCAAAUUUGAUAAAAAGUUCAAACCAAUAUUUCGGCAUAAUGAUAUUGAAGAAAUAAUAUCAUUUAUGAAGAAAAUAAUCUCCCUUACCUCAGAAAGAAUAGUACUUCUGACUGAAAUACUGGAUAUAGUGCUAAAAGAACUUGCACCGUAUAGCA
Molecule: long non-coding RNA, 211 nt
Filed under: Panax ginseng (ginseng)
Lineage: Eukaryota; Viridiplantae; Streptophyta; Magnoliopsida; Apiales; Araliaceae
Description: long non-coding RNA (PGIN_LNC014535)
Source: RNAcentral